This is a non-coding RNA of Kogia breviceps (pygmy sperm whale), 125 nucleotides long. RefSeq annotates it as small Cajal body-specific RNA 23. Lineage: Eukaryota; Metazoa; Chordata; Mammalia; Artiodactyla; Physeteridae. The transcript has a single exon. The record is from RefSeq and is a predicted model, not a curated record.
CCGCUCACCAGCGCUCAGUCUGUCCAUGUGGUGCUGACCUGCCUGCCCUCCGUGAGCCAGAGACGGGACUGGUUUGGGGGCUCCCAUCUGAGUGGGCCUGGGAGACCACGGUUCUCCGUACACCA